CGAUUCUGGCUCAGAUGAACGCUGGCGGCAGGCGUUAACACAUGCAAGUCGAACGAGGUUAGGGAGCUUGCUCCUGAUACCUAGUGGCGAACGGGUGAGUAAUGCUUAGGAAUCUGCCUAGUAGUGGGGGGUAACUAUCCGAAAGGAUAGCUAAUACCGCAUACGACCUACGGGUGAAAGGGGGCGCAAGCUCUCGCUAUUAGAUGAGCCUAAGUCGGAUUAGCUAGUUGGUGGGUAAAGGCCUACCAAGGCGACGAUCUGUAGCUGGUCUGAGAGGAUGAUCAGCCACACUGGGACUGAGACACGGCCCAGACUCCUACGGGAGGCAGCAGUGGGGAAUAUUGGACAAUGGGCGAAAGCCUGAUCCAGCCAUGCCGCGUGUGUGAAGAAGGCCUUUUGGUUGUAAAGCACUUUAAGUAGGGAGGAAAAAGUUAAUGGUUAAUACCCAUUAGCCCUGACGUUACCUACAGAAUAAGCACCGGCUAACUCUGUGCCAGCAGCUGC
This 504-nucleotide ribosomal RNA is filed under the name uncultured bacterium. Its description in RNAcentral is "bacterial SSU rRNA". It matches the Rfam family "Bacterial small subunit ribosomal RNA", at positions 14 to 518 of the family's 1533-position model. The record is from RNAcentral.